UCCUUCACUGCAAGGGGAAAAAGUUCACUGAUUUUGACGAAGUUCGUCAGGAGAUCGAGGCUGAGACGGAUCGCGUGACUGGACAAAACAAAGGGAUCAGUCCAGUCCCCAUCAACCUCAGGGUCUAUUCACCCAACGUGCUGAACCUGACGCUCGUAGAUCUCCCCGGGAUGACGAAGGUUCCGGUCGGAGACCAGCCGGCUGACAUAGAACACCAGA
Molecule: long non-coding RNA, 219 nt
Organism: Cynoglossus semilaevis (tongue sole)
Lineage: Eukaryota; Metazoa; Chordata; Actinopteri; Pleuronectiformes; Cynoglossidae
Exons: 2
Source: RefSeq, a predicted model, not a curated record